This 766-nucleotide ribosomal RNA is filed under the name uncultured bacterium. RNAcentral's name for it is "bacterial SSU rRNA". It matches the Rfam family "Bacterial small subunit ribosomal RNA", at positions 615 to 1381 of the family's 1533-position model. The record is from RNAcentral.
UGGGAACUGCGUUNUGAACUGGGUGACUAGAGUGUGUCAGAGGGAGGUAGAAUUCCACGUGUAGCAGUGAAAUGCGUAGAGAUGUGGAGGAAUACCGAUGGCGAAGGCAGCCUCCUGGGAUAACACUGACGUUCAUGCCCGAAAGCGUGGGUAGCAAACAGGAUUAGAUACCCUGGUAGUCCACGCCCUAAACGAUGUCGAUUAGCUGUUGGGCAGCAUGACUGCUUAGUAGCGAAGCUAACGCGCGAAAUCGACCGCCUGGGGAGUACGGUCGCAAGAUUAAAACUCAAAGGAAUUGACGGGGACCCGCACAAGCGGUGGAUGAUGUGGAUUAAUUCGAUGCAACGCGAAGAACCUUACCUGGUCUUGACAUGUACGGAACCCUCCAGAGACGGAGGGGUGCCUUCGGGAGCCGUAACACAGGUGCUGCAUGGCUGUCGUCAGCUCGUGUCGUGAGAUGUUGGGUNNNNNNNNNNNNNCGAGCGCAACCCUUGUCAUUAGUUGCCAUCAUUAAGUUGGGCACUCUAAUGAGACUGCCGGUGACAAGCCGGAGGAAGGUGGGGAUGACGUCAAGUCCUCAUGGCCCUUAUGACCAGGGCUUCACACGUCAUACAAUGGUCGGUACAGAGGGUAGCCAAGCCGCGAGGUGGAGCCAAUCUCACAAAACCGAUCGUAGUCCGGAUUGCACUCUGCAACUCGAGUGCAUGAAGUCGGAAUCGCUAGUAAUCGCAGGUCAGCAUACUGCGGUGAAUACGUUCCCGGGUCU